AUUGAACGCUGGCGGCAUGCCUUACACAUGCAAGUCGAACGGUAACAGGUCUUCGGAUGCUGACGAGUGGCGAACGGGUGAGUAAUACAUCGGAACGUGCCCGAUCGUGGGGGAUAACGGAGCGAAAGCUUUGCUAAUACCGCAUACGAUCUACGGAUGAAAGCAGGGGACCGCAAGGCCUUGCGCGGACGGAGCGGCCGAUGGCAGCUUAGGUAGUUGGUGGGAUAAAAGCUUACCAAGCCGACGAUCUGUAGCUGGUCUGAGAGGACGACCAGCAACACGGGGAAUGAGACACGGCCCAGACUCCUACGGGAGGCAGCAGUGGGGAAUUUUGGACAAUGGGCGAAAGCCUGAUCCAGCCAUGCCGCGUGCAGGAUGAAGGCCUUCGGGUUGUAAACUGCUUUUGUACGGAACGAAAAGACUCUUUCUAAUAAAGAGGGUCCAUGACGGUACCGUAAGAAUAAGCACCGGCUAACUACGU
This 481-nucleotide ribosomal RNA is filed under the name uncultured bacterium. RNAcentral describes it as "partial 16S ribosomal RNA". It matches the Rfam family "Bacterial small subunit ribosomal RNA", at positions 30 to 506 of the family's 1533-position model. The record is from RNAcentral.